Long non-coding RNA from Magnolia sinica, 834 nucleotides. RefSeq lists it as uncharacterized. Lineage: Eukaryota; Viridiplantae; Streptophyta; Magnoliopsida; Magnoliales; Magnoliaceae. The transcript has 4 exons. The record is from RefSeq and is a predicted model, not a curated record.
UAGGGGCUUUAUAUUCGGCCCUCCAAUUGUGUUAGUGAUUGGUGCAAAGUUUGUUCCCUUAAGAAAAUCAAGAAAAUUGCCAGACAAAUACAAGUGUUAAACAUGAGUACUAGGCGCAGGGUUAGGCAAUCUGUAGGCCCUAUGACUGAUAGCACCAGCCAGCCUCAGCUGCCCUAAACUAAUGUUGGUCCUAUCCAACCUCAGCUGCUUCAGGCUACUAGUGAUUCAACGUCCAAGAAAACAAAGACUUGAGGCCCCACACGAUGCUUUGAUGUUUAGAAAAUGCGUGAAGGUCAACGGAUUUCUAUUUCCGUCAACGAUCUAGGACAGCCCGAUGGUGACAACACUAGUAAGCUGACAAAUUUCAUAGGGACAAUAACACGCAAUGGGGAAUAUGCUCCCCUUACAUUUAAUGAUUAGAGGGCGGUGCCAAAUGCGAAGAAAGAUGAUAUGUGGGGGCUUGUCACGUCCAAGUUUGAGUUUGACGGUAAUGCUAAGGCUUGGGUGUUGAAGUCACUUGGUAAAAAAUGGAGGAAAUGGAAGGGCGAGUUGAAGAAACUCCACUACUCUUCUCAUGAGACUAAUGAGAAACGGCUCGCAGAUCUUGAUGAGCGGGUCCAAGAGGAUCAAUGGAAGACUCUCAUUUAGUUUUGAAACUCUGAAGAGGGGAAGGUAUGCCUCAUUCAAUUAUAGAAUUAUACAAAAUAUUUUGUUAAUAUUUUAUAAUUUACUUUGUCGGUGUGUCACAUAUAAACUCGUUCUAAAAAAAAUAUAGAGAAUCGAAAGAAACAACUGAUUAACCACGGAACAGGCUCGAAGAGUUUUGCACGAAUA